Long non-coding RNA from Oncorhynchus nerka (sockeye salmon), 4112 nucleotides. RefSeq lists it as uncharacterized. NCBI's taxonomy places the organism in Eukaryota, Metazoa, Chordata, Actinopteri, Salmoniformes, Salmonidae. The record is from RefSeq and is a predicted model, not a curated record. The transcript is spliced from 2 exons.
UGUUAACAGAUUAACAGGAGAGGUCUAGAUACUACAAUGUUAACAGAUUAACAGGAGAGGUCUAGAUACUACAAUGUUAACAGAUUAACAGCAGAGGUCUAGAUACUACAAUGUUAACAGAUUAACAGGAGAGGUCUAGAUACUACAAUGUUAACAGAUUAACAGGAGAGAUCUAGAUACUACAAUGUUAACAGAUUAACAGGAGAGGUCUAGAUACUACAAUGUUAACAUAUUAACAGGAGAGGUCUAGAUACUACAAUGUUAACAGAUUAACAGGAUAAGUCUAGAUACUACAAUGUUAACAGAUUAACAGGAGAGGUCUAGAUACUACAAUGUUAACAGAUUAACAGGAGAGGUCUAGAUACUACAAUGUUAACAGAUUAACAGCAGAGGUCUAGAUACUACAAUGUUAACAGAUUAACAGGAGAGGUCUAGAUACUACAAUGUUAACAGAUUAACAGCAGAGGUCUAGAUACUACAAUGUUAACAGAUUACCAGGAGAGGUCUAGAUACUACAAUGCUAACAGAUUAACAGGAGAGGUCUAGAUACUACAAUGCUAACAGAUUACCAGGAGAGGUCUAGAUACUACAAUGUUAACAGAUUAACAGGAGAGGUCUAGGUACUACAAUGUUAACAGAUUAACAGGAGAGGUCUAGAUACUACAAUGUUAACAGAUUAACAGGAGAGGUCUAGAUACUACAAUGUUAACAGAUUAACAGCAGAGGUCUAGAUACUACAAUGUUAACAGAUUAACAGGAGAGGUCUAGAUACUACAAUGCUAACAGAUUAACAGGAGAGGUCUAGAUACUACAAUGUUAACAGAUUACCAGGAGAGGUCUAGAUACUACAAUGUUAACAGAUUAACAGGAGAGGUCUAGAUACUACAAUGCUAACAGAUUAACAGGAGAGGUCAAGAUACUACAAUGUUAACAGAUUACCAGGAGAGGUCUAGAUACUACAAUGCUAACAGAUUAACAGGAGAGGUCAAGCUACAUGGGGCGGCAGGUAGCGUAGUGGUUAGAGCAUUGGACUUGUAACUGACUUGACUAGUUGAAUAACAGUAAAAUAAUAAUAGUACUGCAAUGUUAACAGGAGAGGUCUUGACACAUGCAGUAGAUGGUAUUCAUUUUUCUUGGACAGUUGUUUAACGUCUUGAUUUAUAGACUCAUAAAGAGAGUAAACUAAUGUUAUUGAACAUUUGAUCAAUAUCUUGGACUCUCACCAAUGUGCUCACACCUACAUUAAACUACAUUUAUUUGACAUGAUCCUCAUAAUAUAGCCAGUAUCAUAGCUUCACGAUAGUCAUAGAGUCUUCUCUUCCUCCAACCCUCUGGGGACAGAGUGAACAUCUGGUGACAUUGCUGCUCUAUUCUGGGACAAGCAGAACCACCCAGCCCUGUCUAUGUAAAUCUCAGUUUCACUCCCACAGCUACCAGUCUAGAAGUUGAAAUGUUUCACUGCCUGAAAUACCCUGGACUGGGACAGAUGUGAGGAAGUGACUGGUUUGAACCUCUAUGGUGUAUUCAGGGAAGUUACAAUAAGAGAUAUUACAUAAUUAAUGACAGACAAUAUAUAUAUUAUUCAAACAUGUUUCAUCAUGUCUCAUUCACAGAUGUUACAGUCAGUAACCUGCUUAUCAAGAAAGUUCAUAUAAUGCUAGAUGAUCACAUUCAUAUCUGGUUGUGAGGUACACAUGGGGAUUUGAUUUAGGGGGCUGAUGCUGGUGUAAAUUCACCAUUAUAUAUAUUUUUUUACAUCUGGAGAUCUGACUCUGCAUAUGAACAGAUAGUGUGUGUUUUAAAACUUCAUUUGAGGGAACUUUUCAACCAUGACAAUAAUUUUUCACAAGCGUGAGGAUGAUGAUGAUGAUGGGGAACAUGUGAUUUGAAUGAUGCUUUGUAAACAUAUUCAAAGUUGACCUCCUCUACUGAUCAGUGUUCCAUGUCACUGUCUCUUCCCCCUCAGCACCUGCAGUAGGUCCCAGCUGUAUCAGUACAGUCACUGUGCAGUCUGACUGAGGGAGGUUUUUGUACGGCUCUGUAUCACUGUGUGAACACAUGUUUAUUAUUGGGGAGGUGUAAACUCUGACAGUAGUAAUCUCCUGCAUCUUCAGCCUGGACUCCACUGAUGGUCAGAGUGACGUCACUCCCAGAUCCACUGCCACUGAAUCUAGAUGGAGUCCCAGAAUGGAGUUUGUUUCCCGGAAGUAUCAUGAGUUUGGGUUUUUCUCCUUGUUUCUGUUGGUACCAGGAAAGACACUGAUGGCCCCAUGACUGACCAUUGUAACAAUUACUAUGCACAUUACUGCUGGCUUUACAGAUCAUAGAGACUUUCUGUCCUGAGAGAACAGUUUCCACUGCAGGAGUCUGGGUCACAGUGACCUGUCCUCUGGAUUCUGAAACAGAGACAUUUAAGAAUUGUUCAUUAAACUGUGUUUGUUUUGUCUACAUGUUCAUGAAUCUCAAUCUUUUUUGAGACAGAGGCAAUUUACAUUUAAUAUUUCGAUAAGAAAAAUCAUUUGCAGAUCAUGAUAUUCAAUAGUCUUACCCUGAAUUAAGAACAUAAAUAUCAACAAGAAGCUCAUAAUCAAAGUCAUUGUUGAAGUUCUGUUGUCAUGAAGGACAGCUCUCUGUCUUGGAGUGUUAACUCACAGGGCUAUAAACACUCCCAGAGCACUGAAGCAUGUGCUGUCUAUGCAAAGUAUCUUAUAUGUAAAUUGUCUUCCUGGACAGUCCAAUUUUAUUAAUACCUGUUGUGAGAUGUAGACACAUGAUAACUAUGUUACUGGUUUCUGAUAUAAGUGCUGAAUGGGGACUGAUAUAUUAAUUAUAGACAUCUACAAAUGGAGCAUAUUGUUAUUACUGUGUUAUUAUAACAGAUAGUAUCUUUCUGUGUCUCUCCAGUGGUCAGGGUUAAUAACUGCAGUCUGUGUGUGGACUGACACUGCUGACUGACUGAUCUAAAGGGGAGAUCUCCAGAGCUCUGACGUCUCCAGUCUCCUGCUUCACCUGCUGCUCUCUGGAACUACCACAGUGGUGUGAGGGAGGAUAUAUUGGUAAUGUUUAGGGGCUUUAUUGUAUAUGUUUUAAUCAUCUUGAUUAAAUUCUAACUAUUCAAAACACAAGUGAUCUUUAGGGUUUUGAUCAUUGUAUAUCUCUAAUUCAGAUUGGUUGAUGGUUUUCCUUGAGUUAACCAACAGAGUCAACAUGUAGUUAAUAGUCAGGAGAAAUAUUAGGUGAUCAGUUAUGAUUUAAGUUCUUCUAGACAUACAGUAGCUCUAGUUUGACUCUUGUUGUUCAGCUCUACUACACACUGAUUCAGCUACCCGCAACUCCUUUUCCAACCAGCGGUGAAACAGAGGAGUCAUUGUCAGUCCUUUUGAGUUUUGAGCCUGACAAAGUCAUGUUAUGAUGUAUUAGUUAUCCUGUUAGAGCUUUUGUGCAGAAUCCACUGCUCUGUUUCAGGUGCAACGUUCAUGGUCAUGUUUCAGCAGUGUGUAGGAGGGAAAUUCCAAGAUGUGGGAAGUGUGCAGGAGGGCAUGGGACAGAGGUUUGUGUAGUUUGGCUGGAUAAAGUUGUGUAAACAGUAGGGGUUCUCCUAUUGCUGGAGAUCAGCGGUGUCCGGUGUGAGAGAGGCAGGUUGAAGUGGUCAGAGUAGCGCAGAGGGUGUCUGUCACAUGCUGCGGCAGCAAAGAAAGAGGAGGAGGAUGGGUGAAGGGUGAGUGAUACUGAGAGGAUCCCAGUGAGUAGUAGAUUUGUGCCAGCACAGAGGGAUAGGCCAGCGAGUGAGUUAUGCUUCAGUAAGGUUGUCUUCUUAGCGAUCAUAGCAAUGGUUAUCAACUGUACCACAGAAAUGGAAUAUAAACUACAGAGAAUGGCUGUAGUGGCGGCAGCUGCAGAGAAGUAUUUAAGUAAAGGAGAUUUGACUUCAGAAGAGUUACAGGGUGUGUUUAGGGGAGGUGUCCCGUCCUCCCAGGUCGUUGGCAUGGUGCAGGAGCAGAUAGGGUCAAAGUAGUGGAAUGGGGGAGUGUUUUUUUUUUUGUAACAGUAUUUUUUAUUGGAAUUUCACCAUUUUCACCCAUAUUAAGAGAUACAACAACAGAGACAAAGCA